AAGGUACUUGACUGUCACUUUUAUAAGCUUCUCCUUGGUUCUGGCGUUCACAUGAAUAAAGAGACAAACAUAAAUUAACCAACCCAAUUAAUUCAACAUGUUUAGUCCUUUGAUCUUUGUUCUUAGUACUACCUUCGUGAUCCCACACUCCUAAUCAUAUAAGCUAAAAUGUUGCACAUUCAAUCUUUGGAAGAUAUAAAUAAAAACAUAAAUAAAGAUAGAUUAUCUUUCCAUUAUGUUGAGCGAUCUGAUCUGACAAAUGUUUUAAAUACUACACUCAUGAUCUUAUUAUCCAUCAAAUUUGUCUUGCUCCCUAUGCUUAAGGAUAGAGAAGAUAUACUUUUGGUUUUGUUGGUGUUUUCCACCAACAGGACCCAUGCACUUGAUCUCUGCCUUGUCUCUAUGAGCAGAACACAUUUUGAGAAACGUGGAAGAUUUUUCAACUCCCAGACUCUACCAAGUGAAGGACGUGGAUCUACGAGCACAAACACACUGAGCAGGAUGUUGCCAACACCGCACUUCAAACUGCUGGGCUAACGAAGAACAUGGGUGACACCGUAUCAAGAGGUGCAGACGUCAAGGUCCACACCUGAAUCAAAUGACGCACCUAAAGAAUGAACACGGUGAGAAGUCUUGUUCAGAAGACUUAAAACGUUGAACCCUCGCCGAAAGGUAAAAUCGGUAGUUAUCCAUAUUUAUCCUUUCUACAUUCCCUUUCCAUCAAAUUAUUGACUUUCCUUAAUAGCUUGUCAGUUAAUCAUGCUAUAUUGAAAAGAAAUUAAAAAUGUUAAAACUAGUAAGCCCCAUGUGAGUAUGCUCGUGACAUAAAACCCAUAAGUACAUUCACUGUGGUGGCGUAAAAAUAAAAUAAAUAUAUUCCUGUCCUAUAGAAAUGAAAAUAUAAAAAUAAAUUUAUGAUCCUACCAAAGAGAGUAAUAUUUAUUAGAGGAAGCACAACAUGAUAAAGGCAAAGAGAUUUUUAUGCUAACACUUAACCAGUUCCACAAAGCUUUGUUGUCUAUUUGAGCUCCACAGAAUUCAAGGAUCAAAGAAGACUAGCAGACGAAGGACAUCCUAAUUACUGUCAGCGUGCUGCCGACAUUCAAAUACACCUCCACCACCUGCUAGCUACAUCAGAAGAAUUACAUCAAAAUCUAGCUUGGGGGAGAGCACCCCCAUUUAUCCAGCUAAGUGUUUCUACGCAUUUAUACUUUACUCAAAUAAUAAAAAGAUGCAUAAUCAUAAAAACCCAAAUAAAGAUAUUGUGCUUAUAUAUAUAUCUUUGCUUAGUUUUCUAAAUAAAUAAAUAAAUAAAAUUUGCUAUGAACCCUUAUGAUAAGCUCUCACAUGGAAAUGAUGAAUAGUUGCUCUGCCAUGACUAGUUCUUAAAAUUGAAUUAUCUCUCAAGUUUAGGCAUGACUGUUAUGAAUUAAGAUUUGCUCUAAACCUGGACUUGUGGGAAGAGUACCUCAUCAAAAGUCUAAGUCGUUAAUAGAUAUGAUAUGGGAAGGUUGAGUUGCUAUUUAUCUGUUUGUAGAGAUGCUAGAAUUCUGGAGAAUUUUAUCUUUGAAAAUCUUUAAAAUUUUGCAUGAUGAGUUCCUGUAUGAUGAGAGUUUAAAAUCCUACCAUAGCCAUAUAUACAUGCUUAUUAGACUAUGAACCAUACAUUUACUUUUUACUACUUGUGAGCAUUGAGUGUGAUCAAGCUGUGUAGACCCUUAGGAGCUUGUCAUGUGGUUAAAAUUAAGAUUCACUUGCACGUUCACUCAUACAUGCUGCUUCUACUCCGGAAGUAUGCAUCCACAUACAUCCACUCAUUUCCAUCUCUAGAUUCACCCAAAAUUAUUCUACUCCUAUCCGGGAGAGAAUAGCUAAAAACAUUAUCCCAUUCUUGCUUUUCCCUGUGAAAUAAAUGCUCGAGAUAUUUUGGUUACUACCACUUGCUACAUUAUUCCAGGAGGGUGAGUGCUCUAAAAAAAAGAGAGAGAAGAAAAAAGAAAAAUACGAGGAAAUAAAAAGGGGCAAGUGCCCGGAACCUCGAAGAAAAGAAAAAGUGAGACGAGAGGUAAAAAUGGACAAGUGUCCGACAGUAGAAUUAGGGGUACAAGAUACCCACCUGAGAGAAAAGAAAAAAUAAAAUAUAGAGCAUCUCAUUCCCCUCAAAAAAGUUUCAAAAGUGCAAGAAAGGUAUGUAUCCCCUCAAAAGAGCAAAAGUAGAAUUAGACAUUCACCAUUGUUUUCACCAUUGUUAUUACUAUCAUCACCAUACACCAUUCAUUCGCCACACGUGCACAUCUUGAUAUUGACUUAUUGACAUGUUUCUCUGCAUCCAUGGUUUGACUAUGCAAUAAAUGUCUUGUAAGUAUGUAUGCUUUAUCUCCCACCUAUGAGCAACAGAUAUCAAAACCUUAUUAGAGUAGGGUGAGAGAGAAGGCAAUGUCACUAUGCCUCAUACCAAAAAUACCACAUACUUUGAGAGAAGGCAUAUACCACAAAAGAGAGACUAGAGAGAGUCAUACAGGAAUCUCUGAGUUUUAUUUGAAAAUCUGCAAAAACUCUAGAGCUAUAGUUGAUCAAAGAACAAGAGACAUGGCGCUUGACUUGACCGUUGCAAGUGACGGUUGCAAGCCCCAUGGUGGAAGGUAAUAUGAGUAAGUUUAAAUCUUAAUAGUUUACCCUAACCGAGAGAUGAGACCUUAUUUGAAAGCAUGUGUAUCGUCAACUUUCUAAGGCAUUGUAGCAAUUUCUAAUCCAUCACUAAGUCUAUCCUUGCUCAGGGACGAGCAAGAGGUAAUCUUGGUGGAGUUUGUUGACGGUCCUUAAGUAACCGACACCUAGACUUAGGGUUUUAUCUGACAUAAUUCCACGAGUUUUGGUGUUUGUCUAUUUCUGCAGGGGAUUGUUGCGUAUUCUUACCAUCACUACCAAAAGUAGACAGUUUUCUAAUUCUAGUAACGGUGCCAAAAAUGCCAAACCUAUCCCUCAUACCACUUAAGCCAAGUUGUGAUCCCCAACAUGACAUGACAGACGCGGUAUUGAAAUAUGCAAUUGCUCUUCUAAAUAAAUAAUGAAUGGGAUCUGCAAGCGCACAGAUUAAUACCGAUGUAGCAUUUUAAUCGGGAAGUAUUCCAGGUAUCGUUAUUUAUAUUUUUACCACUGGGAAGGGAUUAGCAAUCAUCAAUAUUGAUUAUAUAAUAGAAUACGAGAUUGAGUAUCUAUCAUUGCAUGUAUAAUUGAGAACAUUUAUCUAACUCUUUCAUACAGGGAUAAGUGUCACAUAAAAGAUAUAUGAAGUAAUGAAUAGUGACAAAGAUAAUUAAUCUGAUCAACAUAACUUAGCCACAUAUAAAUAUGAUAAGCACCUCAAUUAGAUACUCUAGAAAGUGAUUAGCAUGGUAUUAGAAUGAACUACAAGAAUAUUUCCUAAGUUAUUCUCAACUAUAUAGUCUAGCAUAUCAUAGUUAGUGCAAGCAUACUUAGCAAUCAUUGCGAGACAAGACUACGCCCAUGCAUAGUGAUAUUAGCAAGGUAAAUGAGAAACAUAGCAAUCACUCCCCUGUAAUAAUGUUGCUCUGCCAGCCCAAUACAAGAGAGGGGGACUAUAUAAGAAUCAAUGAAGCUGUCACUAUCACGAACUACCCCACGGUCUGGCAUAUUGGGUACAAUCGUAGAUAAAUAUGGUAUAAGCACCACGCCUACACAAUAUCUAUCAUUUACCCAUGGAUCCGAUGGAUAAAUGCUAUACGAUCCUAAACAUGUAUAUAGAUCCAAUCUAACUAAGCCAAGUAUAUAACUAUGAUAAACUAAGAACAAUAUAAUCUUGAAUAUAAACAAGUAGAGCAAAGUCAUAAGCAAUAUAUUGAAGUAGAACAAAGUCAUAUUCAUAAUAUUGAAGAACAGAGAUAAUUAUAAGAACAAUUAGAAGCAUAAUUAGGGAAUUACCAAGAAUACUCUUGACAGAUCCGAAAACCAAUCGAAGAUUGACUCCUUCUAGUUCUAAUCCUAUGUAGCUAUGCUAAUCUAGAUAUCUAAUUGAUGUGGUGGCUCUAGGCUUGAUCAGAGGCUUCUUCUCCCUUGAGGAAUAAUGAAUUAGGGUUGAGAGGCUCUCUCCUCCAGGGGCCAGGGGGUCUGGUUUUAUAGUCUCUGCAAGUGAAUAUGGGCCGUUGGAUCAAACCGACAUUGAUUUAACGGUUAUUCUUGAUCCUUUAGGUCGGUGGAGAUCUUUCCCAAAAGAGAGUCCUAUUUGGACUCCAACAGGGGGCGGGCGCCCGGUGCCUGGCCCCGUUCGGCCUCCGCUUCCUUCUCAUGGCUUCUGUAGUCUUCUAGAUGUAAGAUAAUUGCACGGUUCGUUGAUAUCUCUAUGUAAUCUCGACGUGUGGGCCUUUCUUCCGUAUUUCCUGAUAACCCCCUGCAGAAAUAGACAAACACCAAAACUCGUGUAAUUCUAUCAGAUAAAACCCUAAGUCUAGAUGUUGAUUUCAUUUGGAUCCUUUUCUUUGUAUAUUUGUUAGUUAAAUUUGAUACUUAAGGACCGUCAACAAACUCCCCCAAGCUUACCUCUUGCUCGUCCCUGAGCAAGGAUAGAUUAGAAGUUGCUGCAAUUCUUUUAAAAAUUGACGGUACACAUGCUUUUAAAUAAGGUCUCAUCUCUGAGUUAGAGUAAACUGUCAAGGCUUAAAACUUACUUUACCUUCCACCAUGGGACUUGUAACCGUCACUUGUAUCUUGAGUAGUUAAAAGAUAGAACGGUCUAAUCAAGUGCCAUGUCUCUUAUUCUUGAUCAGCUAUAGCUCUGGAGUUUUUACAGAUUUUCAAAUAAAACUCAGUGAUUCCUUGUAUCACUCUCUCAAAUCUCUCUUUUGUGGUAUUUCUAGAUCCUUACCAAGGCAGUGAUGGUAUAUGCCUUCUCUCAAAGUAUGUGGUAUUUGUAGUAUAAGGCAUAGUAACAUUGCCUUCUCUCUCACCCUACUCUAAUAAGGCUUUUAUAUUUGGAGCUCAUUGGUGGGAGAUAAAAUAUACAUACUCACAAGACAUUUAUUGUAUAGUCAAACCAUGGAUCCAAAGAAACAAAUCAAUAAGUCAAAUCAAGAUGUGCAUGUGUGGCGAAUGUAUGGUGUAUGGUGAUGGUGAUAACAAUGGUGAAAGUCUAAUUCUACUUUUGCUCUUUGAGGGGAUACAUACCUUCCUUGCUCUUUGAAACUUUGAGGAGAAUGUGAUGCUCUUCUUUUUUCUUUUUCUUUCUUUCCUCUCAGGUGGGUAUCUUGUACCCCUAAUUCUACUAUCGGACACUUGUCCAUUUUUACCUCUCGUCUCACUUUUUCUUUUCUUUCGAGGUUCCGGGCACUUGCCCCUUUUUAUUUCCUCGUAUCUUUUUUUUAGAGCACUCAUCUCAUGAGAUAAUAUAGCAAGUGGUAGUAACAAGAUAACUUGAGCAUUUAUUUCACAAGGGAAAAACAUAAAUGUUUUUGGCUAUUCUCUCCCGGAUUAGGAGUAGAAUAUUUUUGGGUGGUUCUGGAGAUGGAAAUGGGUGGAUAUAUGUAGAUGGUACUUCCGGAGUAGAAGUAGCAUAUGUGAGUGAACGUGCAAGUGGAUCUUGAUUUAACCACAUGACAAGCUUCUAAGGGUCUACACAGCUGGAUCACACUCAAUGCUCAUAAGCAGUAAAUAGUAAAUGUGUGGCUCAAAGUCUAGCAAGCAUGUAUAUAUGGCUGUGGUAGGAAUUUAAACUCUCAUCAUACAGGAACUCAUCAUGUGAUAUUUUAAGCAUUUUUAAAGAUAAAAUUCUCAAGAAUUCUAGCAUCUCUAGGAACAGAUAAACAGCAGCUCAACCUUCCCAUAUUGUAUCCGUUAACAACUUAGAUUUCAGAUCAAGUUUUCAUCCCACAAGUUUAGGUUUAGAGCAAGCUUUAAAUUAUAACAGUUAUGUCUAAACUUGAGAGAGAACUUAAAUUGAAAAUUAGGCAGAGCAACUAUUCAUCAUAUCCGUGGUAGAGUUUUUAUCAUUAAGAUUCAGAUUAGCAUAGCCACUUUAUUUAUUUAUUAAGAACACUAAGCAAAAGAUAUAUAUAUUUAUAAGCAUAAACUCUUUAUUUGGUUUUUCAUAGUUAUGUAUAUUUAAUAUAGUAAAAGUAUAAAGAUAGAUAGAAAUACUUAUCGAGAUAAAUGGGGGUGCUCUCCCCCAAGCUGAAUUUUGACGUAAUUCCUCUUGAUGUAGCUAGUAGGUGGCAGAGGUGUAUUUGAAAGUCGGCAAUAUUCUGACAGCGAUUAGAAUGUCCUCCGUCUGCUAGUCUUCUUGAUUCUUGAUUUCUGUGGAGCUCAAAUAGACAACAAAGCUUUGUGGAACUCAUUAAGUGUUAGCAUAAAUAUCUAGCCUUUAUUGUGUUGAGUCUCCUCAAUCUUACUCUCUAUAUUUAUAUUUUCAUUUAUAAUGCAGAAAGGAAAUAUUUGUUUUAUUUUUAUGCCACCACAGUGAAUGUACUUAUGAGUUGCAUGCCACUCGUAUACUCACAUGGGGCUUACUAUUUUUUAACAUUUUUAUUUUAUUUUUAGGAUAGUAUGAACAUGAUUAACUAAGCAAACUAUUUUAAAUAAUUGACAGGAAAAAAGAUAACUACCAAGUUUACCUCUUGGCAAGGCAUUCGUUGUUUUUAUGUCCUCCGAACGGGAAUCUCCGUUUUCUUCAAUUGUCCUAGGAUUCGUUGGGUGGCGGAGUCGGUACUACCGGCAGCGCCUCUGUUGACGGUCCUUAAGUAUCAAAUUUAAUUAUCAAAUAAACAAAGAAAAGCAUCCAAAUGAAAUCAACUUAGGGUUUUAUCUGACAGAAUUCCACGAGUUUUGUUGUUUGUCUAUUUCUGCAGGGGGUUAUCAGGAAAUACGAAAGAAAGGCCCACACGUUGGGAUUACAUAGAGAUAUUAACGUGCCGCGCAAUUAUCUUACAUCUAGAAGACUCCAGAAGCCACGGGAAGGAAGCUGAAGCCGAACGGGGCCAGAGGCAGGGCGCCCGCCCUCCUGCCCUGCGCGCCCGCCCUGACUUGGAGCCCAAUCAGGACUCUUUCUCUCGGGAGAUCUCCACCGACCUAAAGGAUCAAGAAUAACCGUUCAAUCAAUGUCGGUUUGAUUCGACGGCCUAGGUUCACUUGAGGGGACUAUAUAACCAGACCCCCUGGCCCCUGGAGCAGGCAACCCCUUGAUCAUUAUUCAUUAUUCAUAGACAGAGCAAAAGCUAGGGUUUAGAGAUGAGGGCUCUCCUCUCUUCUCUAAACUAGAGUAGAUCUAGAUAGUAGCAAGAUGGAGAGCGAAGGAGGAUUAGAGUAGAGGCCGGCCUGUCGGUUCUUCCUCCGGUUGUACUUCGUCAUGAUCAAGCUCUAAUCAAGCUUGCUCAUGGGAUGACUCUGGUAAUCUACUUCUAAUUCAUUAUGCAAUUACUAAUUAUGUAUGUUCUGGUUCACAACUCUUUUGAGUACUUUAAUCUAUAGGACGCUAUAGGUGAGAGUUGUAGUAUAGGUGUAAGCGUGGUGCUUAGACCUAGAUUACUUGUGGAUAUCCCCUGUCUAGCUGGAUCGUGUGGUAGGCCGCGUAGGUGACAGUUACGUUGGUCCUCUGUAGUCCACCUCUCGUUAGCAGGACGGGUAGGGUUUAUCGGCCUAUGGAUACGCAUCCUUUGUGGUGUAUUCUUAUCACGUGGUUCGUCCCAGACAUAGACAUACCCCUUUGAAGUAGAGAAACCAUAGUUAUCCUCUCUAUUCUGCUACCAUCGCCCAUAUACUAGAAUUGCUCUACUCUCUAUUCAGAUAUUAUCACUCACUGUUAUCUUACCUUUAAUAUUGUUCUUAUUCGAUUCUACCAUCUUUCCUAUCUACACUUAUUUACUUAUCUUGAUUAAGUUACAGCAUAGAUCAGUUUUCCCGUUUCCCUGUGGAUACGAUAAAACCUUUAACCGGAUAAAAGCUUCAACGGUAUCCAUGCGCUUGCGGAUUAUCUGUGUGCGUAUAAAUACCAUAGUACACUCUAGUGCCAUGCUGGGGAUGACAACCUAGUAUUCAAGUGGUGUUAGCAAGUGUCAACAAGCAUUUUUGGCUCCGUUGCUGAUGAAACGGUUGCUGAGCUGACUACGAACUAGCUUAAUCAUUUUCUAAAAAAAAAUAGAAAAAAUAUUUUCCUUUUGUCCUUUGCCUCAUCUAUGCUAAUCAUUCUUCUUAUCUAAUCCUUGAUCUGUGGUCUAUCAUGAAUUCAAACAUGUCUAUCUAUGAAUUUCAUAGACCUACGGGCACACAUCCCGAACCACCAAAAUCUUCAAAGCCUAUCAUAGCAUCUAGUUUUGAGAUAGACCCCGAAUACAUAGAAUUUGUUCAAAAAAAACCUUUCUCAGGAGAAGGUGAGGAAAACCCAUACACACACCUAAGAGAGUUUUAUCGAGUCUGUGACCUCCUUCGCGUAGAAGGAAUGUCCGAUGAGACCCUCAAAUGGAAGCUCUUUCCGUUCUCUUUAACGGGAAAAGCUAGACAUUGGUACAAACUCAAAGUAGGGAGUGUUCAUGGAGAUUGGAAGGAGUUACAUAAUAGUUUUCUUUUAAAAUAUUUUCCAAUCUCUAAAUUGGCGGAACUUUGGCGUGAGAUUAUUUCUUUUAGACAACUAGAAGAAGAAUCUCUUGGCAAAUCAUGGGACCGCUUUAUUAACCUUACUCUCACUGGCCCCAAAGCUUUCUAUUCCAGAAGAAGUUCUUCUAAUUCACUUUUUUGAGGGCCUUAGUGGGGAAAAUAAGAAAACCUUGAAUACUGCCUCUAGAGGAUCCUUCUACCACCUACCUGCUAGUGAAGCUUGGAAUUUGAUUGAUUUAUUAAGUAGAAAGUCUCCUAGCUUUUAUAUCCUUGAGAAAGAGAAAGAACCAGUUCCUAGACAAGAAGAAGAAGUUUCGAUAGCCAGAUCACAACCAAUUCAAUUCCAAACUUUACCUAUCGAUCCUAAACCAUCAAUACCCCAAAAUUCUCCAAGGGAGGAAGGAAUUCCGACCUUAAAUCUUUUAGAUGCUGAUGGUUUAGACUUCUGGUUCCAUAAGAGACCUUCAAGCAGGGAUAAUUCAAAUCCUCGCAAUAAUGGUUCUCUUAGAGAAUGUCCUGGUUCCUGUUAUGAAGAAGUCGAGGAUGACAUAUCAAGUGAAGGAGAGCUAAGCCAUAUUAAAAAUUCUAACACCUCCCCUUUCCUGAUCAUAAGUUCUAAAUGGCUAGAAUGUGUAGAAUGGAUGGAUAAGGAAGAAGCCUUAAUGAUUUCUGACUUUGGAUUCAUCCAACUAUAGAAGAGGACAUAAGUGAGACCAAUCCAAGAGAAACUCUGAAUAUUCAGAUUGGAGACGAAGAUACCAUUAAUGAGCAUGGAAUUUAUUUCAUAGCCACUUUGUUUACUCCAUGCUCAUAUGCAACAUCUUCCCAAUCUAUUGGUCUCUCCAACAUCACCACAUUUGAGAUCUCGAACCCCCUCUUCCUUUCUAUUUAUAAAAACUUUAAAAGGGCGGUUGUCGAUGCAUAUGUCUAUAAUAAAUAUUGCAGAUCUCGUUGAGUUGAUCUUGAUUUAGGUCAGCGUUGGAAGGGAAACCACUUCGCCGACAUAAAUUGAUGGUUUCCCAAGGACAAGCUUGGUGUCCAAAAAUAAGCGCUGAUCAGAUCAUAGCAUGAGUUUUUAAUUAUUUGCAACAUUACCUUGUGUAUUGAGCAUAUAAGGAUAAUUGUAAAAAUAUUCCUUCAGGUAUUCUUGUCACUAACCUUUCCAGGAUUGGAACAAGAAGAUCAGAUGAAUGACAAGCAAGUACAAGGUAUGUCCAACCAAUCAUCAUGCAACACUGAUAAAUUCAUCCAAACUUGAAUUCUGCAAAAUUCAAGCUUGGGGGAGUACUUUACAUAAAAACAUCCUUUGCCAUGUUGCUAUGUUGGUUGUCCCUACCUUUAAGACUUGCUCAAUUUGUUAAAUACUAAUCACACUACUUCAUCUCCACUUGAGUAGAUCUCUAUAAAUGUUGUCAUGUUACUUUUGUCUAUUUACUAGUAAGUGUUAGUUUGGAAGUACUGCACAUACUUCUAUUGGCUUUUAAAUUAAGCAUGGUGCUUAGGUUAAACAGGCUUCCUUAAUCUAAUUAGACAUGGAGUCUAGUUUGGUUAUUGAACUAAAAACUGCUUGUGUAGACAUUGGUAUAUUUUUGUCGGACUAACCCCUGCAGAAAAGCAAAAAAACUUUCAAUAUCGAUUUUUGAAGUCCUGAGAUAAACUCACAUCAGAGACAAAGAGAGUGACACAUGAAGUUUAACAAUUUGCACAAGAAGGACAUAGCUCAUUCAUCAUAGAGAGAUGAUCCAUGGAGGGUACCACAAACACGAUGCACAACCGUUAAGAAAGGAAAGCUUCCACAAGGUGAUACUAUACCAUCACUCUUCAAGCAAGGUAACAUCUUAAGGUACUUGACUAUCACUUUUAUAAGCUUCUCCUUGGUUCUGGCGUUCAUAUAAAUAAAAGAGACAAACAUGUAUGAUUUACAACUCUAGAUUAACCAACCCAACUGAUUCAACAUGUUUAGUCCUUUAAUCCUUGUUCUUAGUACUACCUCCAUGAUCCCACACUCCUAAUCAUAUGAGCUAAAAUAUUACACAUUCAAUCAUUGAGAGAUAUAAAGAAAAAGACAUAUACAUAGAUAGAUUAUCUUUCUAUAAGGUUGAGCGAUCUGAUCUGACAAAUGUUAUAAGUGCUACACUCAUGAACUUUUCAUCCAUCGACUUUGUCUUGCUCACUAUGCUUAGGGUUAGAGAAGAACAAAUACACUUUAGGUUCUGUUGGUGUUUUCCACCAACAGGACCCAUGCACUUGAUCCCUGCCUUGUCUCUAUGAGCAGGUACACUUUGAGCAAAACAUGGAGGAGUUUUAUAACUCUCAGACUCUACCUAGUGAAGGACCUGGAUCUACGAGCACAAACACACUGAGCAGGUUACAGCCAACGCCGCACAUCCAACUGCUGGGCAAACGAAGAACAUGGGUGACACCGUAUCAAGAGGUGCAGACGUCAAGGUCCGCACCUGAAUCAAAUGACGCACCUGAAGAAUGAACACGGUGAGAAGUCUCGUUAAGAAGACUUAAAACAUUGAACCCUCGCCCAAAGGUAAGAUCAGUAGUUAUCCAUAUUUAUCCUUUCUGCAUUCCCUUUUCCCUUUAAUUAUUUACUUUCCUUAAAUAGAUUAUUAGUUAAUCAUGCUAUCUUGAAAAGAAAAUAAAAAUGUUAAAAAAAUAUUAAGCCCCAUGUGAGUAUACGAGUGGCAUAAAACCCAUAAGUACCUUCACUGUGGUGGCAUAAAAAUAAAAUAAAUAUUUAUUUUCUGCUUUAUAAAUAAAAAUAUAAAAACAGGGAGUAAUAUUUAUUGAGGAAGCUCAACAUGAUGAAGGCUAUAUAUUUAUGCUAACACUUAAUUAGUUCCACAAGCUUUGUUGUCUAUUUGAGCUCCACAGAAUUUAAGAAUCAAGAAGACUAGCAGACGGAGGAUAUUCUAAUUGCUGUCACAAUGCUGCUGACUUUCAAAUACACCUCUGCCACCUGCUAGCUACAUCAAGAGAAAUUACGUCAAAAUUCAGCUUGGGGGAGACCACCCCCAUUUAUCUCGCUAAGUAUUUCUACAUAUCUUUAUACUUAUAUUAUAUUAGAAUAUUAAAAUACAUAAACUAUGAAAAACCAAAUAAAGAUUUUGUGCUUAUAUAUAUCUUUUGCUUAGUGUGUUUAAUAAAUAAAUAAAGUGGCUAUGCUAAUCUGAAUCUUAAUAAUAAAACUCUAGCAUGGAUAUGAUGAAUAGUUGCUCUGCCUAAUUUGCAAAUUUGAAGUUCUCUCUCAAGUUUAGACAUAACUGUUAUAAUUUAAAGCUUGCUCUAGAUUUAAACUUGUGGGAUGAAACCUUGAUCUGAAAUCUAAGUUGUUAAUGGAUAUGAUAUGGGAAUGUUGAGCUGCUGUUUAUCUGUUCCUAGAGAUGCUAGAAUUCUGGAGAAUUUUAUCUUUGAAAAAAUCUUUAAAAUAUUGCAUGAUGAGUUCUUGUAUGAUGAAAGUUUAAAUUCCUACCACAGCCAUAUAUACAUGCUUGCUAGACUUUGAGCCACACAUUUAUUAUUUACUGCUUAUGAGCAUUGAGUGUGGUCAAGCUGUGUAGACCCUUAGGAGCUUGUCAUGUGGUUAAAUCAAGAUUCACUUGCACGUUCACUCAUAUAUGCUACUUCUACUCCGGAAGUACCAUCCACAUAUAUCCAUCUCCAGAACCACCCAAAAAUAUUCUACUCCUAAUCCGAGAGAGAAUAGCCAAAAAUAUUUCUGUUUUCCCUUGUGAAAUAAAUGCUCAAGUUAUCUUGCUACUACCACUUGCUAUAUUAUCUCAAGAGAUGAAUGCUCUGAAAAGAAAAAAAAAGAGAAGAGAAAAAAAUAUAUAUAUGAGGAAAUUAAAAGGGGCAAGUGCCCGGAACCUCGAAAGAAAGAAAAAGUGAGACGAGAGGUAAAAAUGGACAAGUGUCCGACAGAAGAAUUAGGGGUACAAGAUACCCACCUGAGAGGAAAUAAAAAGAAGAGCAUCUCAUUCUCCUCAUAAAGUUGCAAAAAGCAAGGAAGGUAUAUAUCCCCUCAAAAGAGCAAAAGUAGAAUUAGACUUUCACAAUUGUUAUCACCAUCAUCACCAUACACCAUUCAUUCGCCACAUAUGCAAAUCUUGAUUUGACUUAUUGACUUGUUUCUCUGGAUCCAUGGUUUGACUAUGCAAUAAAUGUCUUGUAAGUAUGUAUUAGCUGUCUCCCACCUAUGAGCUCCAGAUAUUAAAGCCUUAUUAGAGUAGGGUGAGAGAGAAGGCAAUGUCACUAUGCCUUAUACCACAAAUACCAUAUAUCUUGAGAGAAGGCAUAUACCAUCACUGCCUUGGUAAGGAUCCAGAAAUACCAUAAAAGAGAGAUUUAGAGAGUCAUACAAGGAAUCUCUAAGUUUUAUUUGAAAAUCUGCAAAAACUCCAGAGCUAUAGCUGAUCAAGAAUAAGAGACAUGGCACUUGGCUAGACUGUUCUAUCUUUUAACUACUCAAGACAGAAGUGACGGUUACAAGUCCCAUGGUGAAAGGUAAAGUAAGUAAGUUUUAGUUCUUGAUAGUUUACUCUAACUCAGAGAUGAGAUCUUAUUUAAAAGCAUGUGUACCGUCAAAUUUUUAAGAUAUUGCAACAACUUCUGAUCCAUUGCUGAGUCUAUCCUUGCUCAGGGACGAGCAAGAGGUAAGCUUGGGGGAGUUUGUGGACGGUCCUUAAGUAUCAAAUUUAAUUAUCAAAUAAACAAAGAAAAGGAUCCAAAUGAAAUCAACAUCUAGACUUAGGGUUUUAUCUGACAGACUUCCACGAGUUUUGGUGUUUGUCUAUUUUUGCAGGGGGUUAUCAGGAAAUAUGGAAGAAAUGCCCACACGUCGGGAUUACAUAGAGAUAUUAACGUGCCGCGCAAUUAUCUCACAUCUAGAAGACUCCAGAAGCCACGGGAAGGAAGCGGAGGCCGAACGGGGCCAGAGGCAGGGCGCCCGCCCUCCUGCCCUAGGCGCCCGCCCUGACUUGGAGCCCAAUCAGGACUCUUUCUCUCGGGAGAUCUCCACCGACCUAAAGGAUCAAGAAUAACCGUUCAAUCAAUGUCGGUUUGAUCCGACGGCCCAGGUUCACUUGAGGGGACUAUAUAACCAGACCCCCUGGCCCCUGGAGGAGGCAACCCCUUGAUCAUUAUUCAUUAUUCAUAGACAGAGCAAAAGCUAGGGUUUAGAGAUGAGAGCUCUCCUCUCUUCUCUAAACUAUAGUAGAUCUAGAUAGUAGCAAGAUGGAGAGCGAAGGAGGAUUAGAGGAGAGGCCGGCCUGUCGGUUCUUCCUCCGGUUGUACUUCGUCAUGAUCAAGCUCUAAUCAAGCUUGC
Molecule: long non-coding RNA, 13930 nt
Filed under: Sorghum bicolor (sorghum)
Lineage: Eukaryota; Viridiplantae; Streptophyta; Magnoliopsida; Poales; Poaceae
Description: long non-coding RNA (SBIC_LNC005074)
Source: RNAcentral